This 273-nucleotide long non-coding RNA is filed under the name Canis lupus familiaris (dog). RNAcentral describes it as "lncRNA (ENSCAFG00000046710.2, ENSCAFG00845020709.1)". The record is from RNAcentral. Lineage: Eukaryota; Metazoa; Chordata; Mammalia; Carnivora; Canidae.
CCAGAAUUAGAAGACAAAGCUUUCUGUUGUAGAUGGGGAAAGAGGCACCUCUAUCCCCUCUAUAGUUCCUGACUAUACCAGAACUCUCACCAGCAACUGUUUACUGUGAGCCACAAAGCAUAUAGGAAAUCAAGAUACUUGCUACAUUUUGGUAUUCUCUACUGCUGGUUUAUUUGUGAGGCUCAAGAUCCCUGGUCUGCACAUAUCCCUCUAUAUGGUGAGAUGCUUUCGUAAACUACCUCAUCACUAUCUUAUCGAAUAAGAGAGCCAUAU